AUUCUAGAAUUGGGAGGUAAUAGAAAAGAGAGAAAUGGGAAAGUUGCUCAAAUGCAAGUCCAGUGAAUCAGAGAGAAAAGGCUCAAAGCAGCAGAACAAAGCUUCAAUAAAGAGAUAUUGUGACUUGGAGAGAUGGCCUUUUGUCCUUUGUUCUAUUACCAGUCAGAGGAUGGGGAGCACACCCGAGCCUGAGACAACAGCUCUGCUAAGUGCCCUUGAGAGGGCACGGUGGGGUCAGCACCAAAGUCAGACCACUAAAGAGAAAAAGAGAGAAAGACAGGAUUGCAGAGGAGAAAUGAGAAUGGCAGAAAAAAUAAUUUUUUAAGCCAAAAGGAAUCAGAGAAGAGCAGAAGUGCCUCUAGGAUAAAGCGUAGCAGGCAGUUAGGGAAAAAGGGCUGUUAACUACCUUGAAGCUCUGACUACAUUAGAAAGCCUCGCAAGACAGUCGUUGCUUGCACGGGCAGGUAGAGAACUUUUCCUGUCCAUUGUUCUUCUGAAUUAUAAAUCACUGACCUCUUUAUGAUUUCUAAAGGGAAAAUGACUUCAAGCUUCUUAGAGUUCCCCUAAGGCAUUCUCUAUAUUCAAUAUAAUAUGGGAAGCCCUGGGUUUGUCUUUGUAUGUUUCAUCUGCAGUGACCUGAAAUCUUCAUAACCCUCUUCCUUUCUCCACUUAUCAACUAAGGGGUGGUUGGCAAUAAGGAUGGGUGGGAGAGAAAAAAAAACAGAAUUUGAGGAGGAGAGCAUUUAAACCAUCAGACUGUGUGUUCUGUGACAUCAAAGACUGGCAACAUUCUAAAGGAAAAGCAGCUGUGAAGUCAUAAUUAUGUUCACUUCCCACUGGCAACUGGCAAGCCCUUUAUUUUUGUGCAUUCGGAACUCACCAAGAAUAAAUAAAGUCCAUUCCCUCCUUGAGGGGCUAUUCUGCCAUUCCAUCUAGGAUUUAAAAGUUUGCCAAUUCCUAAAACAUCUAUUGUUAUCAAUAGUCUUGUGUCUUUCACAAAGCGGACUUUACAAAAUAAGUUAACAGGCCAUGAGAGGAACAGUCACACAUACCAAGAAAGGUACAUACGGAGAUAAUUCCAAUCAAAGUGAGCACAGCCUACGCAUAAACAGGAUUUUCCAAGAAAAAAGCAUUAAAGUGCCAUAGAAUAUUAAAGAGCAAUUAAAAGAAUGAAGAUCUCUUCAUAUGCUGGAUAGGCGGAGUGACCCAGCAAUCAUAUGGACACCAUCCAUUCCAGUGACACUCAAACUUCAGCGUGCAUCAGAAUCCCUGCAAGGCUUGCUAAGACACAGACUGCUGCGCCUACCUCAGAGUUCCUGAUUCAUCAAGCUUGAAGUAAGGCCUGAGAUUUUUGCAUUACUAACAAGUCUUCAGGUGAUACCAAUGCUGCUGAUCUGGAGACUGCCUUUGAGAGCCACUAUUCUAUCUCUUUCCCAAUCAACUGUCCUUUCUCACCUCCCUUUUAAAUCUCCAGCACCUGCUCCCUCAUGUUUACUCUCAAUGCACAAUCUUUUUUUCUCCUUCACUGACAGAAGUGAAACAAUUAAAAGAGAAUUUCCCCAGUCUCUCACUACUGCACCUGCUCACCCUCCCACAAGCACGUGUACUCACUGUGCUUUUCUUGCUGUUUUGAAAGGUGAAUUGUCUGUGGUCUUUCUAGAGCCAAUCUCUUCACAUGUGCACCAGAUUCCAAGACCUGCGGCCCACUCAAGGGCAUCCUGCAUGUCUUCUCCCAUCUCUUACCUUGUCAACUCUUUCCACUUUUUGAGUCAUCCUCCUCAGCACAAAAGAUUGUUACUCACUUAUCUUAAAAAGUAAAAGACUAAAC
RNAcentral lists this long non-coding RNA (1828 nucleotides) under Homo sapiens (human). RNAcentral's name for it is "HSALNT0293398". Lineage: Eukaryota; Metazoa; Chordata; Mammalia; Primates; Hominidae. The record is from RNAcentral.